AUUGAACGCUGGCGGCAUGCCUUACACAUGCAAGUCGAGCGGCAGCGCGGGGGCAACCCUGGCGGCGAGCGGCGAACGGGUGAGUAAUACAUCGGAACGUGUCCAGUAGCGGGGGAUAACCUGUCGAAAGAUAGGCUAAUACCGCAUACGAUCUACGGAUGAAAGCGGGGGACCGCAAGGCCUCGCACUGUUGGAGCGGCCGAUGUCGGAUUAGCUAGUUGGCGGGGUAAAAGCCCACCAAGGCGACGAUCCGUAGCUGGUUUGAGAGGACGACCAGCAACACGGGAACCGAGAAACGGGCCAGACCCCUAAGGGAGGCAGAAGCGGGGAAUAUUGCACAAUGGGCGCAAGCCUGAUGCAGCCAUGCCGCGUGUAUGAAGAAGGCCUUCGGGUUGUAAAGUACUUUCAGCGGGGAGGAAGGCGACAGGGUUAAUAACCCUGUCGAUUGACGUUACCCGCAGAAGAAGCACCGGCUAACUACGUGCCAGCCGCCGCCGUAA
RNAcentral lists this ribosomal RNA (500 nucleotides) under uncultured bacterium. Its description in RNAcentral is "partial 16S ribosomal RNA". It matches the Rfam family "Bacterial small subunit ribosomal RNA", at positions 29 to 523 of the family's 1533-position model. The record is from RNAcentral.